GCAUAUCAAUAAGCGGAGGAAAAGAAACUAACAAGGAUUCCCCUUGUAACUGCGAGUGACGCGGGAAAAGCUCAAAUUUAAAAUCUGGCGGUCUUUGGCCAUCCGAGUUGUAAUCUAGAGAAGUGUUACCCCCGUCGGCCCGUGUACAAGUCUCCUGGAAUGGAGCGUCAUAGAGGGUGAGAAUCCCGUCUUUGACACGGACUACCGAGGGUUUGUGGUGCGCUCUCAAAGAGUCGAGUUGUUUGGGAAUGCAGCUCAGAAUGGGUGGUAAAUUCCAUCUAAAGCUAAAUAUUGGCGAGAGACCGAUAGCGAACAAGUACCGUGAGGGAAAGAUGAAAAGAACUUUGGAAAGAGAGUUAAACAGUACGUGAAAUUGCUGAAAGGGAAACGCUUGAAGUCAGUCGCGUUGGCCGGAAAUCAGCCUUGCUUUUGCGGGGUGUACUUUCUGGUUGACGGGCCAGCAUCAGUUUUGACCGGUGGAAAAAGUCUGGAGGAAUGUGGCAUCUUCGGAUGUGUUAUAGCCUCUAGUCGUAUGCAUCGGUUGGGACUGAGGAACUCAGCACUUGUGCUUAGGAUGCUGGCAUAAUGGCUUUAAUCGACCCGUCUUGAAACACGGACCAAGGAGUCUAACAUGCCUGCGAGUGUUUGGGUGGAAAACCCGGACGCGUAAUGAAAGUGAAAGUUGAGAUCCCUGUCAUGGGGAGCAUCGACGCCCGGACCAGAAGUUCUCUGACGGCCCUGCGGUAGAGCAUGUAUGUUGGGACCCGAAAGAUGGUGAACUAUGCCUGAAUAGGGUGAAGCCAGAGGAAACUCUGGUGGAGGCUCGUAGCGAUUCCGACGUGCAAACCCAUCGUCAAAUUUGGGGUAGGGGGAAAAAACUAAUC
This 884-nucleotide ribosomal RNA is filed under the name Psathyrella fimetaria. RNAcentral's name for it is "LSU rRNA". It matches the Rfam family "Eukaryotic large subunit ribosomal RNA", at positions 38 to 936 of the family's 3401-position model. The record is from RNAcentral. Lineage: Eukaryota; Fungi; Basidiomycota; Agaricomycetes; Agaricales; Psathyrellaceae.